GAGCCCUGCGCACCUGUGCAGGCCCCGCCCCGCGCAGGCGCUCUGGGCCUCGCGCACCUGUGCAGCCCCCGCCCCGUCCUCGGCCUUAAAUCGCGGCGGAGCCGUUGCCGGCCCUCUCCACGUGGGAAUGCUCCUGGGAUGCGGCUGGACCUUCUCUCGGAGCGCUGCGCGAACCCAGCCCGGGGGCUGCUCCCGGUGCUGCACGGAGCCCCGAAGUGCUCAGAUCGCAGGAUAUGCUAAAGAUACACUGGAGUUGAGGGGAAUCCUAAAUCUGAGUCUCAAGUCCGUAGGUUUCCUGCAGCUGGCUGGCAGUGUGGGGCAGGAGGAGGCCAGGAGUCCCUGGAAGGCAACAGCACCUCUUGCUCUUUGGCUCUGUGGUGUCCUGCCUGUGCCUGCGGUGUCCUGCCUGUGCCAAGCACGUCCCAGGGACGGACACUGGGCUGCCCAGGCAGCGCUGGCACAGACACGGCUCGAGGGCUGCCCGUGGCUCCUGGGCCAGGGGCUGCUCUGAAUGGGCACCUGGAGAUGCUUCAGCCUGGACAGAGACCACCGAGAGCCCAAAAGCACCGCAAGGCACAGCUGGCAUUUCCUGCUGAUGGCAGCACAGGCCACUUACAGAGGAGCUCAGACAGCGAUUCCUGGUUCUGAUCUCCCAGAGCUCCAACACAGCUGCCAGGCCUUCCUGCAUGCUGAUGAAGGCUUUGUCUGCUCCAUAUCCAUGUGUAAUGAAGUGCUGUCUUCUCGCUAAUGGGAGCCAUCGGAGGUGAUGGGUACUUUGGCAGGUGGGGUGAAGUUUUGUGUGGAUGAAAGUGGGAGUUUUUCAGGGAGCCAGCUGGAAGUGCAGAAGGGAUGGAAAGGUUUUGCAGGAAGUCCCUUGGCAGAACGUGAAGUAGCAGCCCCCAGUAGCUGUGUGUCAUUUGCUGGUGCAGAUGCUCCAGUAACCAUUCCAGUGACAGAAAAUACAGACUCACCAGUCUGGGACUUCAGCAGCAAGCAAGAUUAUCCAAAGGGCUUCUCCUGGAUCCACAGCAAACCUUAAUCUUCAAAGUGUGGCAUAAAGCAGGUAAAG
Molecule: long non-coding RNA, 1069 nt
Organism: Catharus ustulatus (Swainson's thrush)
Lineage: Eukaryota; Metazoa; Chordata; Aves; Passeriformes; Turdidae
Exons: 7
Source: RefSeq, a predicted model, not a curated record